AGGAGGUUGGCUUAGAAGCAGCCAUCCUUUAAAGAAAGCGUAAUAGCUCACUGGUCGAGUCGUCCUGCGCGGAAGAUGUAACGGGGCUAAGCCAGUCACCGAAGCUGCGGAUAUGUCUUAUGACAUAUGGUAGGAGAGCGUUCUGUAAGCCUGCGAAGGUGUCUUGUAAAGGAUGCUGGAGGUAUCAGAAGUGCGAAUGCUGACAUGAGUAGCGAUAAAGAGGGUGAGAGACCCUCUCGCCGAAAGACCAAGGGUUCCUGCGUAAAGCUAAUCUGCGCAGGGUUAGUCGGCCCCUAAGGCGAGGCCGAAAGGCGUAGUCGAUGGGAACCAGGUUAAUAUUCCUGGGCCGUGGAGUGGUGACGGAU
RNAcentral lists this ribosomal RNA (365 nucleotides) under Prymnesium parvum. RNAcentral describes it as "partial Bacterial large subunit ribosomal RNA". It matches the Rfam family "Bacterial large subunit ribosomal RNA", at positions 1095 to 1462 of the family's 2925-position model. The record is from RNAcentral. Lineage: Eukaryota; Haptophyta; Prymnesiales; Prymnesiaceae.